This 103-nucleotide microRNA precursor is filed under the name Marmota monax (woodchuck). Lineage: Eukaryota; Metazoa; Chordata; Mammalia; Rodentia; Sciuridae. The record is from RNAcentral.
AGUAGGAUAGCUGGGUCAUAUGGUGGUUCCAGUCCUAGUUUUUUGAAGAGUCUCCAUACUGUUUUCCAGAAUGGUUAUACUAAUUUUCAAUCCCACCAACAAU